UUGAUUGUGUGAUCAUGUUUCAGGGAUGAACGCUAGCGUCAGGCUUUAACACAUGCAAGUCGAGGGGUAGAGGAUGCUUGCUUCGUGGAGACAGGCGCACGGGAGCGUAACGCGUCUGCAACAUACCUGUUACAGAGGGAUAGCCCAGAGAAAUUUGGAUUAAUACCUCAUGAUAUAUAUCAUUCGCAUGUUUGAUAUAUUAAAGUUCCAACGGUAAAAGAUGGGCAUGCGUCUUAUUAGCUAGAUGGUAAGGUAACGGCUUACCAUGGCAACGAUAGGUAGGGGUCAUGAGAGGGAGAUCCCCCACAAUGGUACUGAGACACGGACCAGAGUCCUACGGGAGGCAGCAGUGAGGAAUAUUGGACAAUGGGCGCAAGCCUGAUCCAGCCAUGCCGCGUGCAGGAAGAAGCAUAUAUGGUGUGUAAACUGGUUUUGUACGGGAAGAAACACUCCUUCGUGAAGGAGCUUGACGGUACCGUAAGAAUAAGGAUCGGCUAACUCCGUGCCAGCAGCCGCGGUAAUACGGAGGAUCCAAGCGUUAUCCGGAAUCAUUGGGUUUAAAGGGUCCGUAGGCGGUUAGGUAAGUCAGUGGUGAAAGCCCGCAGCUCAACUGUGGAACGGCCAUUGAUCCUGCCAGACUUGAAUUACAAGGAAGUAACUAGAAUAUGUAGUGUAGCGGUGAAAUGCUUAGAUAUUACAUGGAAUACCAAUUGGGAAGGCAGGUUACUACUUGUGGAUUGACGCUGAUGGACGAAAGCGUGGGGAGCGAACAGGAUUAGAUACCUUGGUAGUCCACGCCGUAAACGAUGGAUACUAGCUGUCGGGGGCAACUUCAGUGGCUAAGCGAAAGUGAUAAGUUACC
RNAcentral lists this ribosomal RNA (862 nucleotides) under uncultured bacterium. Its description in RNAcentral is "bacterial SSU rRNA". It matches the Rfam family "Bacterial small subunit ribosomal RNA", at positions 1 to 869 of the family's 1533-position model. The record is from RNAcentral.